CUUAGCAUAUCAAUAAGCGGAGGAAAAGAAACCAACAGGGAUUGCUUUAGUAACGGCGAGUGAAGCGGCAACAGCUCAAAUUUGAAAUCUGGCCCUCGGGUCCGAAUUGUAAUUUGUAGAGGAUGAUUUUGGUGCGGUAUCUUCCGAGUUCCUUGGAACAGGACGCCUUAGAGGGUGAGAGCCCCGUACGGUUGAAUGCCUAGCCUCUGUAAAUCUCCUUCGACGAGUCGAGUAGUUUGGGAAUGCUGCUCUAAAUGGGAGGUAAAUUUCUUCUAAAGCUAAAUAUUGGCCAGAGACCGAUAGCGCACAAGUAGAGUGAUCGAAAGAUGAAAAGCACUUUGAAAAGAGGGUUAAAUAGCACGUGAAAUUGUUGAAAGGGAAGGAUUUGUGACCAGACUUUUUCUGGGCGGAUCAUCCGGGGUUCUCUCCGGUGCACUUUGCCCAGUAAAGGCCAGCAUCGAUUUUCGGCGGCGGAUAAAAGCAGUGGGAAUGUGGCUCCCUACGGGGAGUGUUAUAGCCCAUUGUAUAAUACGCUGCUGGGGAUCGAGGUACGCGCUUCUGCAAGGAUGCUGGCGUAAUGGUUAUCAAUCACCCGUCUUGAAACACGGACCAAGGAGUCGAACAUUUAUGCGAGUGUUUGGGUGUUAAACCCUCACGCGUAAUGAAAGUGAACGGAGGUGAGAGCCCGUACGGGUGCAUCAUCGACCGAUCCUGAAGUUUUCGGAUGGAUUUGAGUAAGAGCAUAACUGUUCGGACCCGAAAGAUGGUGAACUAUGCGUGGAUAGGGUGAAGCCAGAGGAAACUCUGGUGGAGGCUCGCAGCGGUUCUGACGGCAAAUCCAUCGUCAUAU
This 850-nucleotide ribosomal RNA is filed under the name Pestalotiopsis scoparia. RNAcentral's name for it is "LSU rRNA". It matches the Rfam family "Eukaryotic large subunit ribosomal RNA", at positions 33 to 910 of the family's 3401-position model. The record is from RNAcentral. Lineage: Eukaryota; Fungi; Ascomycota; Sordariomycetes; Amphisphaeriales; Sporocadaceae.